GGCCGCAAGGCCGUCGCUGAGAUAGAACCCUUGCCUUUAUCGAGUACCUUUCCGUUUCCUCGGCGGGUCCGCCCGCCAACGGGGACACAACCAAAACCUUUUUGCAACCUGACCACAAGUCUGAAUCAAAAAACCAACUAAAUCAAAACUUUCAACAACGGAUCUCUUGGUUCUGGCAUCGAUGAAGAACGCAGCGAAAUGCGAUAAGUAGUGUGAAUUGCAGAAUUCAGUGAAUCAUCGAAUCUUUGAACGCACAUUGCGCCCUUUGGUAUUCCUUAGGGCAUGCCUGUUCGAGCGUCAUUUAACCCCUCAAGCGCAGCUUGGUGAUGGGCGCCUGUCCGCCGCUUUGGCGGACUCGCCUCAAAGACAUUGGCGGCCGUUACGUUGGCUUCGAGCGCAGCAGAAACGCGAUACUCGAGGUUCCGGCGGAGCGCGUCCCCCAGGAAGCCCCCCUUUCUCAGUUUGACCUCGGAUCAGGUAGGGAUACCCGCUGAACUUAAGCAUAUCAAUAAGCGGAGGAAAAGAAACCAACAGGGAUUGCCCUAGUAACGGCGAGUGAAGCGGCAACAGCUCAAAUUUGAAAUCUGGCCCUCUCAGGGUCCGAGUUGUAAUUUGUAGAGGGUGUCUUUGGCGCGGGCUGUGGUCUAAGUUCCUUGGAACAGGACGUCGCAGAGGGUGAGAAUCCCGUAUGUGGCCGCCAGCCUUCGCCGUGUAAAGCCCCUUCGACGAGUCGAGUUGUUUGGGAAUGCAGCUCUAAAUGGGAGGUAAAUUUCUUCUAAAGCUAAAUAUUGGCCAGAGACCGAUAGCGCACAAGUAGAGUGAUCGAAAGAUGAAAAGCACUUUGGAAAGAGAGUCAAAAAGCACGUGAAAUUGUUGAAAGGGAAGCGCUUGCAGCCAGACUUGCCCGCAGUUGCUCACCCGGGCUCUCGCCCGGGGCACUCCUCUGCGGGCAGGCCAGCAUCAGUCGGGGCGGUCGGACAAAUGCCUGCUAAAUGUACCUCUCCUCGGGGAGGACUUAUAGGGUAGGCGGCAUACGGCCAGCCC
Molecule: ribosomal RNA, 1044 nt
Filed under: fungal endophyte
Lineage: Eukaryota; Fungi
Description: eukaryotic LSU rRNA
Rfam family: Eukaryotic large subunit ribosomal RNA (bases 464-1044)
Source: RNAcentral